GAUCAUGGCUCAGGAUAAACGCUGGCGGCGCACAUAAGACAUGCAAGUCGAACGGAAGUCGUUGUAAUGAUAUAGACAUGGACGGAGAACUUGUUCAAAAGGGAAGUGAAAGUUGACUUACAACAAUGGCUUUAGUGGCGGACUGGUGAGUAACACGUAAGCAACCUGCCUAUCAGAGGGGAACAACAGUUAGAAAUGACUGCUAAUACCGCAUAUGCCUAAGUAUCAC
Molecule: ribosomal RNA, 229 nt
Filed under: uncultured bacterium
Lineage: Bacteria
Description: partial 16S ribosomal RNA
Rfam family: Bacterial small subunit ribosomal RNA
Source: RNAcentral